Molecule: long non-coding RNA, 280 nt
Filed under: Homo sapiens (human)
Lineage: Eukaryota; Metazoa; Chordata; Mammalia; Primates; Hominidae
Description: HSALNT0356244
Source: RNAcentral
GAAAGUGGCUGGUGCCGGUGCCAAUUAGGAUGAGGCGCUUGCCUUCAGGAAGAGUCCCAAAGCCAAGCUCUGACUCCAGGACCAGGGUUCUGGUCCGUCUCUCUAGCUGGUUCAGCUCUGAAUCCACACCUGAGAAGCAUGAACGCCCGCCCAGGGACAAAGGGCUACAAGGCUGGUGUAUAUUUACAUGCACAGAAACCGGAGCCAUGAAUCAGUGAGCCAGAGUGGUAGCUUUUAAAAUUCAGGAAGCGAAUUGGGGCUUCAUUAAAGCAGUAUCUUU